CCCUUUUACCUUUGUUUAAUGCUCUGAAAGAUUUUCUCUCCCAGGCAAGAAGCAGCAGCCACUGAGUUGGAGACCACAUGGAGCAGGGGGCUUCUGACAAGCAGGAUCAAUGGAGAAGUUGCCAGUGAAAUAGUAAAUUAUGAUCAUGUGAUGUCUCCCUUAAUGACCGUGACAAAGAUUUGGAAAUCCCGUUGGAAUUUAUUGUUUCUGCUCACACUGAGGAAACAAAGGUGCAACACCGAUUUCUCCACCCCUCCGAAGAAUAUCAUCUUCAGCUUUUACUAAACAAAAACAUCCUGGAAUAGGGGUAUUGUGCCCACGUGUACUCUUCUGUGCAUGUGCAGAUCACCUAUGAUGACGUCCGGGUCAAUGGGCGGAGCCUCCUGCCGGUUUUACUACCGGUUCUUGCGAACCCAUCCGAACCGGGGGCAACCCACCACUGGAUCACGUGAUCCGCUUUUGCAAAACUCAGUUAACAAAUGUCUCACUUAGCAACAGAAAUGUUGGGAUCAAUUAUGGUUGUAACCCGAGGACUACCUGUAAAAACAGCAUCCCAAGUGCCUCAAUGAAAAUUGGGUCGUACAUAUGAGCAAUUUAUAUGAACAUUUGUCCAAGGGAAUUAACUUUCACACACCAUCACCACCAACAUCACAACAAUAUUGUAAUAACAGUAGCACGUAAGAAUCUUUCUCUAUGAUCAAUGAAGGCCCAUUUAUUAAUUGCGUUGAGAUUUCCAUCAGACCUGUGCAUUGAUUUUGCAGGGUCCCUGGGCACCUCGUCUUUUCCCUUUUAUAAUAAAAUCAAGACAAAAGGAAGAGGCAGGUCAUAGCAGGAAAAGAAUUGGCUUACUGUUUACACUAUGAAGCAUUCUAAAAUAAACAGGAGUUGGCUACAUGUCGGAAUACCUGGAAAAGUUAUUGAAGCUGCACCUGGCUGAAGUUUUCAAUAAGGCUUUCUCCUUCCCAAUAAGGCUUUCUCCUUAUCUCUGCCACUGAUGGGACAUGUAAUAAAGUCAGGAUAGCAUAUUUUCAGCUACAGGCAGGCUAUUCUUUAAAAGGCUAAAGAGGGCAUUUUUUUCAAGUGUGGAACUGAAAUCAAUUAAUGCAUCUGAAUAUCCUGUAAAAGAUUUUGUGUAACGAAACUCCUAGAAUCUGUGACAUAGUUAUGUAGCAAAACAGCCUGUAUCUUUAGGGACAGAUAGAAACCCAUGUACCUGCUCAGAAGGUGAAUGAAUGAAUGAGUGAGUGAGUGAGUGAGUGAGUGAGUGAGUGAGUGAGUGAAAAACACCAAAAGGAGAAAAGAUCAAAGAAGUAGAAAAUAAAGGAAUAUAUAAACGGA
Molecule: long non-coding RNA, 1338 nt
Organism: Pantherophis guttatus
Lineage: Eukaryota; Metazoa; Chordata; Lepidosauria; Squamata; Colubridae
Source: RefSeq, a predicted model, not a curated record